GGCUCAGGACGACGGCGGCCGGCGUCCUUAAUCCAUCCAAUUGAAGCGGCCAGAUGGAAGCUGGUUCCUUAAGUUAAGCGGCGGACGGUUGAGUACCAGGUGGUUACCUUCCCGGUAGGAUUGGGAUAAUUCCGGGAACCCGGGGUUAAUCCCGGAUGCUUAAUUGACCGCCAUGGUUCAAUAAUAAAAGGUGGUUUCAGCUACCACUUACAGAUGGACCCGCGGCGCAUUAGCUAGUUGGUGAGGUAACGGCUCACCAAGGCGACGAUGCGUAGCCGACCUGAGAGGGUGAUCGGCCACACUGGGACUGAGACACGGCCCAGACUCCUACGGGAGGCAGCAGUAGGGAAUCUUCCGCAAUGGACGAAAGUCUGACGGAGCAACGCCGCGUGAGUGAUGAAGGUUUUCGGAUCGUAAAACUCUGUUGUUAGGGAAGAACAAGUACCGUUCGAAUAGGGCGGUACCUUGACGGUACCUAACCAGAAAGCCACGGCUAACUACGUGCCAGCAGCCGCGGUAAUACGUAGGUGGCAAGCGUUGUCCGGAAUUAUUGGGCGUAAAGCGCGCGCAGGCGGUUUCUUAAGUCUGAUGUGAAAGCCCCCGGCUCAACCGGGGAGGGUCAUUGGAAACUGGGGAACUUGAGUGCAGAAGAGGAGAGUGGAAUUCCACGUGUAGCGGUGAAAUGCGUAGAGAUGUGGAGGAACACCAGUGGCGAAGGCGACUCUCUGGUCUGUAACUGACGCUGAG
This 747-nucleotide ribosomal RNA is filed under the name Bacillus sp. (in: firmicutes). Its description in RNAcentral is "bacterial SSU rRNA". It matches the Rfam family "Bacterial small subunit ribosomal RNA", at positions 21 to 750 of the family's 1533-position model. The record is from RNAcentral. Lineage: Bacteria; Bacillati; Bacillota; Bacilli; Caryophanales; Bacillaceae.